GACAGAGGAGCCAAGCGUUGUCCGGAGUAACUGGGCGUAAAGCGCACGCAGGCGGUUCUGUGCGUGGGGUGUGAAAGCUCUCGGCUUAACUGAGAGAGGCCACCUCAUACGGCAGAACUGGAGCCCUGCAGAGGUCCACGGAAUUGCCGGUGUAGUGGUGAAAUGCGUAGAGAUGUGGAGGAACACCGAUGGCGAAGGCAGCCCCCUGGGUCAAGAUUGACGCUCAUGCACGAAAGCGUGGGGAGCAAACAGG
This 253-nucleotide ribosomal RNA is filed under the name uncultured bacterium. RNAcentral describes it as "partial 16S ribosomal RNA". It matches the Rfam family "Bacterial small subunit ribosomal RNA", at positions 524 to 776 of the family's 1533-position model. The record is from RNAcentral.